RNAcentral lists this ribosomal RNA (616 nucleotides) under Legionella pneumophila. RNAcentral describes it as "bacterial SSU rRNA". It matches the Rfam family "Bacterial small subunit ribosomal RNA", at positions 242 to 849 of the family's 1533-position model. The record is from RNAcentral. RNAcentral also lists the same sequence under 1 other name. Lineage: Bacteria; Pseudomonadati; Pseudomonadota; Gammaproteobacteria; Legionellales; Legionellaceae.
UAGCUAGUUGGUGGGGUAAGGGCCUACCAAGGCGACGAUCGGUAGCUGGUCUGAGAGGAUGACCAGCCACACUGGAACUGAGACACGGUCCAGACUCCUACGGGAGGCAGCAGUGGGGAAUAUUGGACAAUGGGGGCAACCCUGAUCCAGCAAUGCCGCGUGUGUGAAGAAGGCCUGAGGGUUGUAAAGCACUUUCAGUGGGGAGGAGGGUUGAUAGGUUAAGAGCUGAUUAACUGGACGUUACCCACAGAAGAAGCACCGGCUAACUCCGUGCCAGCAGCCGCGGUAAUACGGAGGGUGCGAGCGUUAAUCGGAAUUACUGGGCGUAAAGGGUGCGUAGGUGGUUGAUUAAGUUAUCUGUGAAAUUCCUGGGCUUAACCUGGGACGGUCAGAUAAUACUGGUUGACUCGAGUAUGGGAGAGGGUAGUGGAAUUUCCGGUGUAGCGGUGAAAUGCGUAGAGAUCGGAAGGAACACCAGUGGCGAAGGCGGCUACCUGGCCUAAUACUGACACUGAGGCACGAAAGCGUGGGGAGCAAACAGGAUUAGAUACCCUGGUAGUCCACGCUGUAAACGAUGUCAACUAGCUGUUGGUUAUAUGAAAAUAAUUAGUGGCGC